This is a long non-coding RNA of Belonocnema kinseyi, 695 nucleotides long. RefSeq lists it as uncharacterized. The transcript is spliced from 3 exons. Lineage: Eukaryota; Metazoa; Arthropoda; Insecta; Hymenoptera; Cynipidae. The record is from RefSeq and is a predicted model, not a curated record.
AACGGUAAUGUAUUUUAAUGGGACCUCUCUAGCUACGCGUGUAAAAAGUUAAAUUAUUAAAAUUUUCUGUUUAAAGUGGACAUAAAAAAGGGAUUUUGGUUUAGAAUUAUGGAGAAAAGUAAGGAAAAUCGUGCAAGAGUGCAAAUCAAGCAUAUCUACUUCCAAUUCAACUUGAUUAAAAAAUUUCAGCGGAUUCCAUAAAAAUUCUCGGAAUAGUUCGUAUCGGAAGUUAUUUUACAUGCCAACAAGAAGGAUCGAUUAAAUGAGAAAUGCAAGUAAAUAUGGAUUAAAAUGAUCAAGAAAUUGAAUAUGAUAUAUUCAAUUAAAAAACGUAAAUGAUCAAAGCUUUUACAUGGAAAUCAGUCGCCUAUAAAUAUAGAUGAGCAAAAUUAAGUCAGAUUAAAUUAAGAGAUGUUCUCGCUCAUACAUACAAACACGUUUACCAUCAUACAAUACAUAAAUUUUCGGAUCCGUGACAAAAAGCCGAAAGUCACUCUUGGAUUAGCGUGUCUUUUUACGGAACGCGACUCUUAUUGGACGGGCGGUUUUUUCGUUUGGGCUUUUUGUCACGGAUCCAAAUUUUCUAAAUUAUGAGGGAGAGAAUUCGUAGAAAAUAUUAAAUACUUAUUUUGUAUCGUCGUAAUACCGAAAUGUUGUUGCUACUCUAUACAUUCUUGGUGAAAAGCGAGACUUAA